UUUUUAGUGUAAGUAUAUCCCAUGCAAUAUUUGGGAAAUAUUUUUACUAAAA
This 52-nucleotide microRNA precursor is filed under the name Camelus bactrianus (Bactrian camel). RNAcentral's name for it is "mir-1302 microRNA precursor family". It matches the Rfam family "mir-1302 microRNA precursor family". The record is from Rfam by way of RNAcentral. RNAcentral also lists the same sequence under 2 other names. Lineage: Eukaryota; Metazoa; Chordata; Mammalia; Artiodactyla; Camelidae.